RNAcentral lists this ribosomal RNA (486 nucleotides) under uncultured bacterium. Its description in RNAcentral is "partial 16S ribosomal RNA". It matches the Rfam family "Bacterial small subunit ribosomal RNA", at positions 30 to 507 of the family's 1533-position model. The record is from RNAcentral.
AUUGAACGCUGGCGGCAUGCCUUACACAUGCAAGUCGAACGGCAGCACGGGUGCUUGCACCUGGUGGCGAGUGGCGAACGGGUGAGUAAUACAUCGGAACAUGUCCUGUAGUGGGGGAUAGCCCGGCGAAAGCCGGAUUAAUACCGCAUACGAUCUACGGAUGAAAGCGGGGGACCUUCGGGCCUCGCGCUAUAGGGUUGGCCGAUGGCUGAUUAGCUAGUUGGUGGGGUAAAGGCCUACCAAGGCGACGAUCAGUAGCUGGUCUGAGAGGACGACCAGCCACACUGGAACUGAGACACGGCCCAGACUCCUACGGGAGGCAGCAGUGGGGAAUUUUGGACAAUGGGCGAAAGCCUGAUCCAGCAAUGCCGCGUGUGUGAAGAAGGCCUUCGGAUUGUAAAGCACUUUAGGCCGGAAGGAAGUCCUGUAACCUAAUACGGUCGGGGGUUGACGGUACCGAAAGAAUAAGCACCGGCUAACUACGUG